UCCAUCCCAAUUUUACACCCAACCCUAAUUCAUUUCUCUCCAUCUUUGCUCUCCAUUUUCUCUCUUUCAUCCGUCUCUCACUCUCUACUCGCCCACCAUAUUUAUCAGCCGUAAAUCCGCCUCUCUUGCAUCUGUAUUCUUCGAUUGUCGUGGUGUAGCAGGCGUCGAAUCUGCUCCUCUCGCAGCUGUGGAUCUGAUAAGGCGACGGAGCAAAAUGGCACAGCGCUGUAGUCACUGCAGGCAGCAAUGCUGCAACUAUAGAAUACAAUCGCACAAUUUGCAGUGCCAUUGAUGGUCGCACAACUUGCAGUGAUGCGCGCAGCGGCAAUCACACGACUUGUAGUGAUGCGGCGAUUGUGAACUUCAGUCUGUGGAUCUGAUAAAGAGGUGGUAGUGAUGCCAUGGUGGCUAUUGUGACAGCAGAUUUGGGGAUUUAUUUGUGGGUGCGGUGAUUGUAGUGUAAUGGAGAUUGUGGUUGUGAUUUUUGGUAUAGGGGGUGGUGCUGCUGCAUUUGCUGGCCACCACGUUGAUGGUAAGAUGGGGAUGGAGGUUGUAGUGGUAGUCAUAUUGGUAUUGACAUUGGUCGUAGUUUUGUAGCUUAAAAUGAUGCCUUGUUUGUGGUGGGGUGGUGGCUUUGAAGUUGGAAAUAGUGGUUUGUUGGACGUAGUGCCUACGAUGGUGUUGCUAGGAGGUGUUGACCAAGGUGCGACUAGAGGCACUAAUAAAUUGGUGGUCACAACGUAGUCACAAAUUAUUUGAUUGGUUGUGACCAAUGAAUAGACAAAUUGUGAC
RNAcentral lists this long non-coding RNA (792 nucleotides) under Olea europaea subsp. europaea. The record is from RNAcentral. Lineage: Eukaryota; Viridiplantae; Streptophyta; Magnoliopsida; Lamiales; Oleaceae.